RNA transcript from Zalophus californianus (California sea lion), 8316 nucleotides. It is a transcript of the gene named zinc finger protein 655-like, with no coding region annotated. The record is from RefSeq and is a predicted model, not a curated record. NCBI's taxonomy places the organism in Eukaryota, Metazoa, Chordata, Mammalia, Carnivora, Otariidae. The transcript is spliced from 3 exons.
GCUCUCGCUGUCUCUGUCAAAUAAAUAAAUAAAAUCUUUAAAAGAAAAAUAAAAAAAUUAAAAGGUUUCAAUAAAAGAUUAAAUAAUUUUGGAUAGGAAAAAUUAAUUGCAAAUGCAUAUUUUGAAAGCAUAGAGUUCUGACUUUAAAAUUUAGGAAAAAGGCAUUCAGGCCAAUGGCAAGAAAACCUGCCUUAAUGCUUCCUGUGACCCUUAGAAUGUUAGACUAGAAAGAAUAUAAACUGUGGAAUCAGACUUGGGUUCAUCUUAUCAACUGUCUACAUUGAGCAGAUUAUUUAAACUGAUACCUAUUUUCUUCAACUAUAAAACAUGAAAAAUAAUUGUCUGCCUUUCUGGGUUUAUGCCAAGGAUUAAAUUAGAUUAAAUUAUGUUGUGUGUGUAAGUACCUGGCUCGUGGUAGUUACUUAAAUGCUUUUUUGGAAAGGACUGCAUGUGAUAAGAGCUAUAGAUCAGAUUUAAAAAAAAAAAAAUUUUUUUUAAAUUUUUUAAGUGGGCUCCACACAGGGAUUGAACUCACAACCUGAGAUCAAGACCUGAGCUGAGAUCAAGAGUUGGAUGCUAAACCAACUGAGCCACCCACGUGCCCCAGACCAGAUUUUUUAAUAUAAACAAAUAUCAGGAGUAUGUUUAAAUUAUUUCUUUAUAAUGAAUUUCCUCCGAUUGAAUAUUGCUUAUACUUUUGUAAAAGAGUUUGGAUUUUUAUUUUAAGAGACUUUCAUUUCUUUGACACUAAGUGAUCUUUUAGUUUGCUUUUAAUUAGAAUAUCCAUGACUCCAAAUAUGUUGGAUCCUGGCUCUCCAUGUAUUACUCUAUAAUCACUAUUUCUCUGUUCUUUUUUUUUUUUUGAGAGAGAACAGGAGUGGAGUUGGGGGGCGGGUGCAGCGGGAGAAGCAGACUCCCCACUGAGCAAGGAGUCCGAGGUGGGGCUCGAUCUCAGGACUCCAGGAUCAUGACCUGAACCGAAGGCAGACAGACGCUUAACCAAAUGAGCACCCAGGCGCCCCUCUCUGUUCUUUUUUAUUUAUUUUCACCUUUUACUCCAUUGUCGGUGUGUUGAUCUCCUGUCUGUCUUUCUGUACAUAUGUUGGAGGAAGGGACAGAUUCAUUCACAGUCAUUAUUUUUUACUAGCAGAUUAUGUGAAAGCCAGGUUCUGAAAGACUUCGCUUAUGAUGAAUUAUGAUGAGUAUUCAAUUAGUGAAAUUUGUAAAGUCCUUGGUGUGGUACUUUGCACCUACCAAAUGUGCAGUAAACCUUAGCUUAAUAUUUUAAUGAUACUGAUGAUACAGAUAACUUUUAAGUCUAUAUUUUGAACCCUGUUGUUCAUCAAAACUAGUCUUUUUUUUUUUUUAAGAUUUAUUUAUUUGUCAAAGAAAGAGAGCACAAGCAGGGGGAAUGGUGGGCAGAGGGAGAAGAAGCAGGCUCCCCACUGAGCAAGGAGCCUGAUGUGGGACUCGAUCCCAGGACCCCGGGGUCAUGACCUGAGCCGAAGGCAGACGCUUAACCGACUGAGCCACCAGGUGCCCCCAGAACUGUAGUAUUUUAUCUCUAACUGCCUACUAAACAUUUUCUCUUAUUCCUGACUGCAUUAACUUAAACACAAUCUACAGUCAAACCCUUCUUUCCACAUGGAGACAGUCUUUUUUGUUGUGUAUAGGUGAUGUGGGUAUAGAUAUAGAAUAAAUAAGCAAAAUUUGCUUCAGUUAUCAAAUACUUAGAAACACUUUGAUAUCUGAGCUAAAAGUUAACAAAUUCUGUUACCAGAAUUCUGAGGAUAUUUGCUGCUUCAUGCCAUGCUUUUUUUUUUUUUUAACUUGAAAACUAUUUCAUUUGACAUGGAGGACCUCAACUAAAUAAGCGUCCAAAGGGGGGAAUAGACUAUUAAUGCCCAGCAGGAAUUCAGAAGCACAGUAAAUGCCUUUCUUUUAUCUGUUCUGUAUCUGCCUGUUCAUAGGCUCUCACAUGGAAUCCUAAGAGGAUGGCUGUUGGUUUGUCGUAUUUUACAGGCCCAAUGCCCUCUUAUAAACUGGUUAUCUGUUAUAUGUUGACGCUAGGACACAAAAUUGGCACUCGUUAAGUAGCUCUUAAGUAAAUAAGUCAAAAAAAUUAAAAGAUAUAAGAUACAUGGUCCCUGCUAGUAAGAGUUUAUAAAUGAAGUAGGGAUGAUAAUUCCUGAAGCCAGUUAAAUAAAAAUCUAUAAACUCCAUUAUAUAGUGACGUGUCAGCGUAAGAGGAAAAAUAAUAAAUUAUGUAGACAGUAAGUGGGAGGAAAAAGGCUUUUGGAGUUGACGGGCUUGAGCUAGCUCAUGGAUGUGUGCUACUAGAAGAUUUCUGGUCUGAAGACGUAUAAAAACUUCCCCUUUGAUACUAUAAUAGUUCUGCCCCCCUCAGGAUCAGACUGCUUCUUGCUUUUGCUUUAAAAGAGAUUAGAUCGUAGCAGUCAUUAUGUAAGCCAAGAAAGACCAUUUUUUAUGUGAAGGUGCACUUUCAUUGCACUUGUCUCUCUGUAUCGUAUUAUAGUUAGUUGUUUAUAUCUGUCUCUACGUAGUUUCCACAUGGGAGGCGACCCCGGUAGAUGUUGUUGAAUAAACAAGAGUGUAACUCCUAAAGGGUAAGAAUGUGUUAUGUUAUUUUUUGUUUCCUCAUAUGCACUGAAGCGAAUUGAGAUUGACGUUUCUUGAGAUUGGUUCUUGGAAUAUCAAUCCUCACUGAUUCUGUUGCUGCAGUUUAGCUCACCACACAACAGGUGCUUGAGUAUUCACCUUCCUCCAGUCCAGCGAAGUUAUAUUUUGAUGACUUCCCUUUUGACCUGGUCUAUACUUCUAGACCAGGUCUAAUACAAAGAUUGAUCUAUAGGCAACAGCUGAAGAGUGAAAAUGAUCACUUCUGUGAAGACAGGAUUUCCAAUUUCCAAGCCUGAUGGAUCUCCCAGCAGGGAACAAGAUCUACAGGUCUUUGAUCUGGAAACUAAGAAUAGAGAAGUCUUAAGAGAUGACUGCUCAGAUGGAGAGACCAGAGAAGAGAACAAGCUGUUGAUUCCCUAAGCAGGAAAUUCUGGAAGAAGUACAUUCAUACAAAGUGAGAGUAGGAAGACUCAAAAAGGAUAUUGCCCUGUUCCUGGACUAGAGAAGUGUCUAAACCUGAGGACAGAUUAGAAAGGCUUCAGGAAAUCCUAAGGAAUUUCUCUUCUGGAGAGAGCAUUUAGGCAGAUAACAAUCAGCAAGAAAGCCUUCACAGUGACAAUGAAUGUAAUGAACCUGAAAAAGCUUCAAUCUGGACUCUACCCUUGAUACAGAACAGAGAGUUCUUAGAAUACAGAAUAUUGAUGAUACUGAUAAGUAUGACAAGGGUUGUGAACCAGAUUCAGCUGUGGUAAACAAGAACAAAUAAAUCUCAUACAGGAUGUUCAGAGUAGUGAAUAUAAGGAAAGCUUAAUGGAUCUCUCCCACCUUAUUAAUGUGGACAGCAUUCCUGCCACAGAGAAAUCCUAUAAAUGUGAUGCAUGUGAGAAAGUCUUCCAUCAGAGCUCUGCCCUUUCUAGACAUCAGAGAAUUCAUACUAGAGAGAAACCCUACAAAUGUAAGAAUGUGAAAAAUCUUUCAGUCAGAGUUCAAGUCUUAGUCGACAUAAAGAAUACACACUAGAGAAAAACCCUAUAAAUGUGAAGCAUCUGAUAAAUCCUGUGAAGCAUCUGAUAAAUCCUGUAGUCAGAGCUCAGACAUAACUCCACAUAAGAGGAUUCACACUAGAGCAAAGUCUUAUAAAUGUAGUAAUUGUGAAAGAGUUUUCGUCGUAGUGUACAUCUUACUCAACAUCAGAAGAUUCACAGAGAGAUGCCCUGUAAGUGUACAGUAUGUGGCAGUGACUUCCAUCAUACCUCAUACCUUGCCGAACAUCAGAAAGUCCACUGUGAAGAGAAAGCCUAUGAAUACAAUGAUUGUGGGUUGACCUUUAUGAAACAUCAAGAAUUCAUCUCAGAGAAAAGCCCUAUACGUGUAAUGAAUGUGGAAAAGACUUCAGAUUGAAUUCCCAUCUUAUUCAGCAUCAAAGAAUUCACACAGGAGAGAAACCACAUGAAUGUAAUGAGUGUGGAAAAGCUUUUGGUCAAACUUCAUGCCUUAUUCAGCAUCACAAAAAUUCAUGGGAAGAGAAGUUCUUAUGAGUGUAAUGAUUAUGAGGAAAGUUUCAAUCAUAGCUCAGAUCUUGUUCUCAGCAAGAAGUCCUCACCAGAGAAAAGCCUUUGAUUGUGAUGCAUGGGAAAAGAACCUCAGUCAGAGAGCACACCUUGUUCAACAUCAAAGAAUUCAUACCAAAGAGAACCUUAUGAAUGUGGACGAACGUGGGGAGACAUUUAGUCAAAGUCAGGCCUCAUUCAAAUCUGAGAGUUCACCCAGGGAGAAAUUAUAUAUGUACUGAAGGUGGUGAAGCCUUCAGUCAAUAGCUCAACCUUAUUCAGCAACAGAGAAUCCACCCCAGAGAGAAACCCUCUGAAUGUGAUGAAUGUAGGCAAACUGUUUUGUCAGUGUUAAACUUCGAUAUCUGCCAAACCCAUACCAAUGAGAAAAUCUAAGAAUAUAUUGAAUGUGGUAAAUGCUUAUGCUAUUUUCAUACUUAGUCACCAUUGGAGAAUCUUACUGGAAUAAAAUUCCAUCACUGUAAUAAAUGUGAAAUUGCUUCAGUCAAAGAAACUACCUUGUUCAGCAUCAAAUUCAUUCCAUGCCAGAAAGCCUAUGAAUGUAAUAAGCAUGUCUGUGCAUGGGAGGAUUCAGUCAUAUUCUACCCUUAUUCAACGUCAAAGAAUCUGUGCCAGGAGAAGCCAUUCAAGAGUAGCAAAGGUGACAGAUCUUUCAGUGGGAGUUCAAGUCUUUUUUCAUCAUUAGAAUCUCCACACCAGACCAGAAUCUGAUAUAAUGCAAAUGGAAAAAAUGUACCUCCACAUUUCAGGCUUUACUCAACAUCAAAAUACUGGAGAGAAAAUUUUAUAUAAAAUUGUUAAUAUAUAGCCCUGAUUUUUUCAUUGCAGAAGAAGAUAGUCUGAGGAGUGACUUGGUGAAUGCAAUGCUGUUUCCUCAUGGCAUUCUUUUAUUUAAUAGGUGGUGUAGGUAGGUAUAUAAACUUUAUUUAUGGAACUCAUUUAUGGCCUAUGAACAUUUUUAUUUUUCCUGAAAUUUGGUUCCUGUUAUAGCUUCUCUAAGAUAUUGUUAACACACCCAUGUAAAAACAUAACUUCUGGAAAGCAGCUCAUUUAGAUUUUUCUGCUGUUCUCAGCCCAAGUUCUCUCCAAAACAGACUCUUAGGUCUGCUGUUUUCUGAGCAUUCUACUUUCCUGUUGUUUUCCAGCCACAACACUUGGAUUCCUGUUAAUUUCUCCAUUUUCUUAGUAUCUUCAAAUGAUGUUUUCUAGUUUUAAGCUUCUCACCAGCAGGUUUGCCGUCCCUACUUGAUGUUCGUGUUCUGGUGUCUUCUUUCCUAAAGUGAAGCAUCUACCUUUAAAAAGAAUUGGAUUUCCACAUUCUGUCCAUCCAUGAGUUUGAAGGAUUCCAUCUCUACUGUGUUUGCGUCAGGCAGCUAAACAUUUUCAAAUGACACCCCACCCAAUAGCUGUCUUGUCUGCAUCCACAGCCCUCCAAAAGAGAUAAGGACAUCAGGGAGCCAACAAGACUCCUGAUGGUCUAGCUACAUUCAUUCAGCGCCUGUUCUGCAUGUCAAAGUUUAGAAUUAUUUUAUAUACUUCUGUUGAAGGACAGCAAAAUGCUCAGGUCUGCUUUUGAUAGGGCAAAAUAUAAAGAACAUACACAGAAAAGUCAGAACUUCAUAAGGGAAUGCAGCUUUUCAAAAAAGAAAACAAAAGCUGUUCUUCUGUAAUCUCUCUGGAGAGAGUAUUUCAAGAGAGUGGCAGGUCUUCCUGGUAAAAUUUUAACUGCUACGAUUGCUUCUUUAUCUGUUUGGAUUUUUGCCCCCCUCUCCCGUCAAUCCAGGACAGUAUUUGAAGUGUGGGGGCUUUGUGUAUAAUUGUUUGUUCAUCAUCGCAUUUUCUGUAUUUUACGAGUCUACAGGCCAUAUAAAAGAAUUUGGUUUUUUGAUUGAUAAAAGUGAUCACAGAUGUCAGGAUGUCCAGAGUUCGGGGUCACUGUCAACACCUAGCCAAGAAUUCAUGAUUCUUUAGAUGUUGUCAAAGCAUUUUAUUAUAUUUUUCCAUCUUAAGUUUCGUAACACUUUGUGAAUAAGACAGGUGUUACUUAAAAUUCUUAUUGUCAUUCCAGCAAGUGAGGCCUUCAUAGUUCAGAUGUUAUAAUAUUCACUAGGGAUUCUCAACAAAUAUAUAACAACUUACUGCUUAUUCUGUAAUCCUCUUAUGGCUAAGCUCUAAGAUAGUUCUACCACCGUAUUUUGCCUUUUAGUCAUCAGCAAGCAUAGGAUCUUAUCAGGGCAAAGUAGAGAUCUAAAUGCAUUGAUUUAAAUGUAAAAGCAAAUGAAAAAUGCAUGUUUUUUUUUUUUUCCCCCAUGUGUAUGCCCUUAUGUACAGAGACCAAUGGUCACUUCUGGUGAUUAUGAAACAGAUUAAUCCCUAAAUAGCAGAAUAUGUAAAAAUCACAUGUAUGCAUUUGGUUUUAGGAAUGUGCUUUUGUACUUCCACUUGAAUAAAGGUGUGUUUGAUACUCAGAAUCUGUUUCAAAAAAUAUCUAAAGGCCUCAGCCAGAAGCAUUUGGAAAUCUUGGAAUCACCUUCCUGGCUGCGACUCCCGUUUCUUCCAGAAACCUGCUUCACAACAGGAGUGGAUCACUCUCCUUCACACUGAUACAAAGCUUGCUCUUCCACAGACUUCGGGAACAAAGUCUGAAUGUUUAAGGUUUUAAGGAUUAUUCAUUUGGGAUGUUGUUGGCACAUAAAUAGUUUGAGGUUUCAGUAGAACUAGGCAGAAUGUGUGUGUGUGUUUUUUUAAAAUAAGUAAAACACAUUUUAAAAAAUGAGAAACCAAAAUAAUCCUGGAGGACAAUUAACUUGUCUCUUUAAACUUGCAAUAUUUAAUCAGUCCAAUAUAAUGUGAGUUUGUGUUUUUAGUGUUUUAAUCUUGAAGAUUAAAGGGAGGGAAGAGAAGAAAUGUAAUAGUUGAGGUACACCGAAUUUAGUCUGUCUUCUAUCCACCUACCUACAUGCAUAUGUAUGUUCAUAUUCAAACUUAAUCCUCACACCUCUGCAAGGGAACUAGCUCCGUUUUACAGAGGAACUGAGGUGUAGAGAGGUUGAAGAAUCUGUUAGGGUCACUCAGCAAGUUAAUGACUCAAGUCAGGCCUGACUCCCAGGCUUUCCAUCAUCAUGAUGUUGAUAUUAGACACAUCCCAGAACCCAGAGAAGUUUUCUUUAAUAGCUCUUCAUUCCCUGUUAUAUCCUCAGUGGUUGGCUAUUACCAGUUUGCAAUUAAUCUGAAUGCUCCCAGAGCUGUCUGGGAUACUAGAGAGAAAAUAUCCCAGUAUCUUUUGGGAGCUAGUCAGAGAUCCUGCUCCCUGAAACAGGCUUAGAUGAUUUUGACAAUGACAUGCCACAGGUCAGAGCUCCCAAAUUCUUACCUCCUGUUAGCUGUCCCAGCUCCCAUUACUAGGUUUACAUUUCCACUUCUCAAUGCCCAGAAUGUGCUCUUUUUCCCUGCUAACUGGAACUUGCUGAUUGAUGGACAUGUAUUAGAUUUCCCAUCACUUCUGACUAAAUUACAGCAAUGGAGCAAGGUGGGUAAUGGGAAAAUCAAGUUUGAUUCGUAGGUUUUUGACUUGAGCAAAAGCGUGGAUAGACAUAGACUGGAGAGAUGGGGACCACCGGAAGAGGAGCAGGGAGAGUAUUUCAGGCAAAAGAACAUAUCAGAAGGCCUUCAGAUGAAAGAGUUUGGCAUCUUCAAGGUAAUCUCUCUAGAGGAAUGCAUCACCCUAGGAAGUAGUAUGUGGGCAACUGAGGAAGUUUAAGAAUGAAGUUGAAAGGAGGCCCCUCGGGUGUCAUAAUGGCAAAGCACAAUGGAAUCCCCACCUCUGAAAAUGUGACCUCAUCUAUCUUUUCAUUCAUUCAGUAGUACAGUUGCCAGAUGCAAUGAUGUUCAGUGCCAGCGCAUGGGCACAGUUAACAUAAAUCAGACCAUCUAUUAAGUGAUGAAGACUAAAACAGAGUAGUUGUCACAGCAAUGACUGGAAUUGGACAUUUCUGUGUUUGAACUUCGCUAUUUACUGGCUGUGUGACUUUGGGCAUGUUAGCCUCUAGUUUCCUUGUCUAUACGAUGGUUAAUAAUAGCAUGAAAAUUAAAUGAGGUAAUGUAA